UGGGGAAUUUUGGACAAUGGGCGAAAGCCUGAUCCAGCAAUGCCGCGUGUGUGAAGAAGGCCUUCGGGUUGUAAAGCACUUUUGUCCGGAAAGAAAUCCUUGGCUCUAAUACAGUCGGGGGAUGACGGUACCGGAAGAAUAAGCACCGGCUAACUACGUGCCAGCAGCCGCGGUAAUACGUAGGGUGCAAGCGUUAAUCGGAAUUACUGGGCGUAAAGCGUGCGCAGGCGGUUUGCUAAGACCGAUGUGAAAUCCCCGGGCUCAACCUGGGAACUGCAUUGGUGACUGGCAGGCUAGAGUAUGGCAGAGGGGGGUAGAAUUCCACGUGUAGCAGUGAAAUGCGUAGAGAUGUGGAGGAAUACCGAUGGCGAAGGCAGCCCCCUGGGCCAAUACUGACGCUCAUGCACGAAAAGCGUGGGGGAGCAAAACAGGAUUAGAUACCCUGGUAGUCCACGCCCUAAAACGAUGUCAACUAGUUGUUGGGGAUUCAUUUCCUUAGUAACGUAGCUAACGCGUGAAGUUGACCGCCUGGGGAGUACGGUCGCAAGAUUAAAACUUAAAGGAAUUGACGGGGUCAUAGCUGUUUCCU
This 589-nucleotide ribosomal RNA is filed under the name uncultured bacterium. RNAcentral's name for it is "partial 16S ribosomal RNA". It matches the Rfam family "Bacterial small subunit ribosomal RNA", at positions 355 to 1375 of the family's 1533-position model. The record is from RNAcentral.